UGAUUUCCCAAAAAAAAUGUUCCAAGACGCGUCCCUUCCAUCCAGCCACCUCCUCCUCUCGUUUCCACUCUCCAAUCUUCCUACCAUCGUCAAGCGCAGCAACUAAUUCCGGGCGAGCUGGAGGUGAUGUCGACUAGGUCUCAGUUCCCGUGCACAUCCCCCACCGCCGUCCUCAACGGAGCUGGCCACGCGGUGCUCAUCUGAGUAGCGGCUGCGGCAAACAACGUGAGGAAACGCGGUUUCGAGAUCGCGCAGCCGGCUGUCUACACGAAAUGUCUAGCACCUAUGUACGACAUCACCUCCAAGAAAAAUGGCAGCGAUAUGCACAGAUAAGCACCGUUUCCAUCAUGAUGCAUAGUACAACAUGUUAUCAUAUUCUGAAUUUGGGCGAUCGUACUGUCUGCCAUGAACAGGACAGAUCUAACACUGAGAAUUGUUGGGGCAUGCACAAGAGGCCGUGCAACAGAUGAUUAACUAGUUAUAUUCUUCAUUGACCAUUCUUUUUUGCAGUUUUCCAUUUUAAAGGUGAAGAUGCAAACAUGGAUGCAUGUUCGUGGAGGUGAUGACGCUGAUCUUCUAAAUGGGUACUACUUGAAUAACAUCAUCCAUGGAUGGCCUACUUGCUCCUACUUUUGAAGAUGCAUCAAUAACAGAUGCUCCACCGUUAUAGAAGCAUCACGAGGCGUGGUAGUAAUUGGUGAAGAAUGAUAUGCACGUAAAUCCAAGGACUGGGUGGUGUCUCAUGACUGAAGAUUAC
This is a long non-coding RNA of Hordeum vulgare subsp. vulgare (domesticated barley), 757 nucleotides long. RefSeq lists it as uncharacterized. The transcript has 3 exons. The record is from RefSeq and is a predicted model, not a curated record. Lineage: Eukaryota; Viridiplantae; Streptophyta; Magnoliopsida; Poales; Poaceae.